AUGAACGCUGGCGGCGUGCCUAAUACAUGCAAGUCGAGCGAACGGACGAGAAGCUUGCUUCUCUGAUGUUAGCGGCGGACGGGUGAGUAACACGUGGAUAACCUACCUAUAAGACUGGGAUAACUUCGGGAAACCGGCGCUAAUACCGGAUAAUAUUUUGAACCGCAUGGUUCAAAAGUGAAAGACGGUCUUGCUGUCACUUAUAGAUGGAUCCGCGCUGCAUUAGCUAGUUGGUAAGGUAACGGCUUACCAAGGCAACGAUGCAUAGCCGACCUGAGAGGGUGAUCGGCCACACUGGAACUGAGACACGGUCCAGACUCCUACGGGAGGCAGCAGUAGGGAAUCUUCCGCAAUGGGCGAAAGCCUGACGGAGCAACGCCGCGUGAGUGAUGAAGGUCUUCGGAUCGUAAAACUCUGUUAUUAGGGAAGAACAUAUGUGUAAGUAACUGUGCACAUCUUGACGGUACCUAAUCAGAAAGCCACGGCUAACUACGUG
This 496-nucleotide ribosomal RNA is filed under the name uncultured bacterium. RNAcentral's name for it is "partial 16S ribosomal RNA". It matches the Rfam family "Bacterial small subunit ribosomal RNA", at positions 29 to 507 of the family's 1533-position model. The record is from RNAcentral.